Mobula hypostoma (lesser devil ray) is the source of this 815-nucleotide long non-coding RNA. RefSeq lists it as uncharacterized. The transcript is spliced from 3 exons. The record is from RefSeq and is a predicted model, not a curated record. Lineage: Eukaryota; Metazoa; Chordata; Chondrichthyes; Myliobatiformes; Myliobatidae.
GUUUGUGUUUCUUGGUAGUGGGACCGAGGAUGUGAAAAGGCCAUGGCUUUACCUUAAUCAUCGUGAAUGAAGCUUUUAAUUUUAUCUCAUUCAGUUCCCAUACCUCUGUUCUUACCCCUUUUCUUCCUGAACAGAACUUCAACCAAGAGUCAGAAAUUGUGAUCAGUGCUUGGGACCCAGAGACGCUUUCACAAGUGAGUUGGAAUUCGGAGUUCCCCCGACAGCAGCAACAAUCAAGUAAUGACUAAAAAUUGUGGCUGAGAUCCUGUCGGAGUCUGUGAUCUACAGCUUCACUCAAACUGGGGCUCUUCACGACGGUGGGUUCCUACUCCCAGAGCUUGUUGACCGGCUGUUGUUGAUAACUCCACGAAUGGCCUGGAAGAUGUGCACCUUCAGGUUGUGGCCUCAGGUGACCCCUGUGGACCCAAUUCCUGACCAAUAUCACCCACUGAAGUGUCGCAGGAGAUCAGAACAUCAAGACAGCAGAGGCUGUUGGAGGCCUCUGCACUUGAGCGAUAUCUCUCUCUCUCUCUCUCUCUCUCUCUCUCUCUCUCUCUCUCUCAAUGGGAAAAGAUGGGGGGGCGGGAGAGUCUGCUGGUUCUCAAGUCAGGUGAGCUCAAAUAAGCUUUGCUGGAGACUGUAACAUUGAAACAACAAGCUGUUGGUCUUCCCUCUUGCUGUGGAAAUAGUGACAUCUCUCUCCCCCUUGUCAGUGAGAGAGAGAGAGAACCUGUGGCAUGUCAAAGUGCUGGGUUAUGGACUAUAGUCUUUAAUGGAUCUAGAUCAUGGACUCUUUGGGGACUUUUGCUAUUGCU